Molecule: ribosomal RNA, 253 nt
Filed under: uncultured Aquihabitans sp.
Lineage: Bacteria; Bacillati; Actinomycetota; Acidimicrobiia; Acidimicrobiales; Iamiaceae
Description: partial 16S ribosomal RNA
Rfam family: Bacterial small subunit ribosomal RNA
Source: RNAcentral
CACGUAGGGGGCAAGCGUUGUCCGGAUUUAUUGGGCGUAAAGAGCUCGUAGGCGGCUCGGUAAGUCAGGUGUCAAAUCCUCAGGCUCAACCUGGGGCACCACCUGAUACUGCUGUGGCUAGAGUCCGGUAGGGGAGCGUGGAAUUCCUGGUGUAGCGGUGAAAUGCGCAGAUAUCAGGAGGAACACCAGCGGCGAAGGCGGCGCUCUGGGCCGGAACUGACGCUGAGGAGCGAAAGCGUGGGUAGCAAACAGG